Long non-coding RNA from Sinocyclocheilus anshuiensis, 249 nucleotides. RefSeq lists it as uncharacterized. Lineage: Eukaryota; Metazoa; Chordata; Actinopteri; Cypriniformes; Cyprinidae. The record is from RefSeq and is a predicted model, not a curated record. The transcript is spliced from 4 exons.
CUGUCUUCUCUGAACACACGUUUCGGCCUCAGUACACUGAAGAUCUAAGAAAACACUUCACACCCUACAACCCCUAAAAAUAACCCAGAUUUGACAGCAGUGCACACCCAUCUGAGGCCGACCUGUUUUACUUCAUGAUCACCCCAGAUACUUCUACAACUAACCCGCUUUUGUGCAUCUUCAAGACAUGAAUGACGAUAUUAACCCCAAAACUCUGACACCCAAGAAACCAUAAAAUAAAUCCAUAGG